GACGAACGCUGGCGGCGUGCUUAACACAUGCAAGUCGAACGGAAAGGCCCUGCUUUUGUGGGGUGCUCGAGUGGCGAACGGGUGAGUAACACGUGAGUAACCUGCCCUUGACUUUGGGAUAACUUCAGGAAACUGGGGCUAAUACCGGAUAGGAGCUCCUGCUGCAUGGUGGGGGUUGGAAAGUUUCGGCGGUUGGGGAUGGACUCGCGGCUUAUCAGCUUGUUGGUGGGGUAGUGGCUUACCAAGGCUUUGACGGGUAGCCGGCCUGAGAGGGUGACCGGCCCCAUUGGGACUGAGAUAGGGCCCAGACUCCAACGGGAGGCAGCGGGGGGAAUUAUGGCACAGUGGGGGGAGGCCUGAGGCAGCAGCGCCGCGUGCGGAAUGACGGCUUUGGGGUUGUAACCCGCUUCCGCCUGUGACGAGGCGGGAGUGACGGUAAUGGGUAAAGAAGCACCGGCUAACUACGUG
RNAcentral lists this ribosomal RNA (468 nucleotides) under uncultured bacterium. RNAcentral describes it as "partial 16S ribosomal RNA". It matches the Rfam family "Bacterial small subunit ribosomal RNA", at positions 28 to 507 of the family's 1533-position model. The record is from RNAcentral.